RNAcentral lists this ribosomal RNA (253 nucleotides) under uncultured bacterium. RNAcentral describes it as "partial 16S ribosomal RNA". It matches the Rfam family "Bacterial small subunit ribosomal RNA", at positions 524 to 776 of the family's 1533-position model. The record is from RNAcentral.
UACGUAGGUGGCGAGCGUUGUCCGGAUUUACUGGGCGUAAAGAGCGCGCAGGCGGUCGUUCAAGUCGAGUGUGAAAGCCCCCGGCUCAACUGGGGAGGGUCACGCGAUACUGAUCGACUCGAAGGCAGGAGAGGGUAGUGGAAUUCCCGGUGUAGUGGUGAAAUGCGUAGAUAUCGGGAGGAACACCAGUGGCGAAGGCGACUACCUGGCCUGUUCUUGACGCUGAGGCGCGAAAGCUAGGGGAGCAAACGGG